Molecule: transfer RNA, 69 nt
Filed under: Solenocera melantho
Lineage: Eukaryota; Metazoa; Arthropoda; Malacostraca; Decapoda; Solenoceridae
Description: tRNA-Asp
Rfam family: tRNA
About the family: Transfer RNA (tRNA) molecules are approximately 80 nucleotides in length. Their secondary structure includes four short double-helical elements and three loops (D, anti-codon, and T loops).
Source: RNAcentral
GAAAAAUUAGUUAAAUACUAUAACAUAAGCCUGUCAUGCUUAAAUCAUCAAACAAUCUGAUAUUUUUCA